ACGCUCGACACCUACGGGAGGUAGCAGUGGGGAAUAUUGCACUAAUGGGGGAAACCCUGAUGCAGCAACGCCGCGUGAAGGAAGACGGUUUUCGGAUUGUAAACUUCUGUUCUUAGUGAAGAUAGUGACGGUAGCUAAGGAGCAAGCCACGGCUAACUACGUGCCAGCAGCCGCGGUAAUCUGAGCGGGCUGGCAAGGC
Molecule: ribosomal RNA, 199 nt
Filed under: uncultured bacterium
Lineage: Bacteria
Description: partial 16S ribosomal RNA
Rfam family: Bacterial small subunit ribosomal RNA
Source: RNAcentral